Molecule: small RNA, 38 nt
Filed under: Neochlamydia sp. TUME1
Lineage: Bacteria; Pseudomonadati; Chlamydiota; Chlamydiia; Parachlamydiales; Parachlamydiaceae
Description: CRISPR-DR32
Source: RNAcentral
AUAGUAAUCAAGGCCACGUACAAGCCGUGGAUUAAUAA